Molecule: long non-coding RNA, 265 nt
Organism: Sabethes cyaneus
Lineage: Eukaryota; Metazoa; Arthropoda; Insecta; Diptera; Culicidae
Exons: 3
Source: RefSeq, a predicted model, not a curated record
UCACAAUGAAAACUCUUACAAAUGCUUUUGUUCUGCUCCUCCUGGCGUUCCUAGCGAACGGCUUUCUGCCUGUACAAGCCGACGAAAGCCAAAGAAACGUUAACCAGUGGGAAGCCUGGAAGGACCAAAUCCAGUCGGCGUCCGUACGUACCAGUUCUAAGCCAAACCAUCACUGAGUUGAGUCUCCCAUUGAUGACGAGCGAAACCGUCACCUUUGCUUCGAACUACUUUGAAGGAGAAAUAAAUUUGCUUUAUUUGUAACAAA